RNAcentral lists this ribosomal RNA (1241 nucleotides) under Bacillus licheniformis. RNAcentral's name for it is "bacterial SSU rRNA". It matches the Rfam family "Bacterial small subunit ribosomal RNA", at positions 11 to 1232 of the family's 1533-position model. The record is from RNAcentral. Lineage: Bacteria; Bacillati; Bacillota; Bacilli; Caryophanales; Bacillaceae.
UUUUGAUCAUGGCUCAGGAACGAAACGCUGGGCGGCGUGCGUAUACAUGCAAGUCGAGCGGACCGACGGGAGCUUGCUCCCUUAGGUCAGCGGCGGACGGGUGAGUAACACGUGGGUAACCUGCCUGUAAGACUGGGAUAACUCCGGGAAACCGGGGCUAAUACCGGAUGCUUGAUUGAACCGCAUGGUUCAAUCAUAAAAGGUGGCUUUCAGCUACCACUUGCAGAUGGACCCGCGGCGCAUUAGCUAGUUGGUGAGGUAACGGCUCACCAAGGCGACGAUGCGUAGCCGACCUGAGAGGGUGAUCGGCCACACUGGGACUGAGACACGGCCCAGACUCCUACGGGAGGCAGCAGUAGGGAAUCUUCCGCAAUGGACGAAAGUCUGACGGAGCAACGCCGCGUGAGUGAUGAAGGUUUUCGGAUCGUAAAACUCUGUUGUUAGGGAAGAACAAGUACCGUUCGAAUAGGGCGGCACCUUGACGGUACCUAACCAGAAAGCCACGGCUAACUACGUGCCAGCAGCCGCGGUAAUACGUAGGUGGCAAGCGUUGUCCGGAAUUAUUGGGCGUAAAGCGCGCGCAGGCGGUUUCUUAAGUCUGAUGUGAAAGCCCCCGGCUCAACCGGGGAGGGUCAUUGGAAACUGGGGAACUUGAGUGCAGAAGAGGAGAGUGGAAUUCCACGUGUAGCGGUGAAAUGCGUAGAGAUGUGGAGGAACACCAGUGGCGAAGGCGACUCUCUGGUCUGUAACUGACGCUGAGGCGCGAAAGCGUGGGGAGCGAACAGGAUUAGAUACCCUGGUAGUCCACGCCGUAAACGAUGAGUGCUAAGUGUUAGAGGGUUUCCGCCCUUUAGUGCUGCAGCAAACGCAUUAAGCACUCCGCCUGGGGAGUACGGUCGCAAGACUGAAACUCAAAGGAAUUGACGGGGGCCCGCACAAGCGGUGGAGCAUGUGGUUUAAUUCGAAGCAACGCGAAGAACCUUACCAGGUCUUGACAUCCUCUGACAACCCUAGAGAUAGGGCUUCCCCUUCGGGGGCAGAGUGACAGGUGGUGCAUGGUUGUCGUCAGCUCGUGUCGUGAGAUGUUGGGUUAAGUCCCGCAACGAGCGCAACCCUUGAUCUUAGUUGCCAGCAUUCAGUUGGGCACUCUAAGGUGACUGCCGGUGACAAACCGGAGGAAGGUGGGGAUGACGUCAAAUCAUCAUGCCCCUUAUGACCUGGGCUACACACGUGCUACAAUG